GACGAACCGAGCGAACGUUGUUCGGAAUCACUGGGCUUAAAGGGCGCGUAGGCGGGCUGUCAAGUCUGGGGUGAAAUCCCGCGGCUCAACCGUGGAACUGCCUUAGAUACUGACGGCCUCGAGGGAGAUAGGGGCGAGCGGAACUGUGAGUGGAGCGGUGAAAUGCGUUGAUAUUCACAGGAACUCCGGUGGCGAAGGCGGCUCGCUGGAUCUCUUCUGACGCUGAGGCGCGAAAGCCAGGGGAGCAAACGGG
Molecule: ribosomal RNA, 253 nt
Filed under: uncultured bacterium
Lineage: Bacteria
Description: partial 16S ribosomal RNA
Rfam family: Bacterial small subunit ribosomal RNA
Source: RNAcentral